CGGAGGAACUGUUAAACGAAGGAAAACCCCACUCAAAACGCUGCCUGGAGAGCUGACAAAGCACCUGGCUGCCUUCCGCAGAUCAAAAGAGAGCCCGUGCUAGAGAGAUGGGCUUGAAAUGUGUAGAUUUUGACAGACUGUGCAAAUUUUUAUAAACCUUAAAUUCAAAAAUCCAUCUUUAGUAAUUACAUUAUAACACAAGAGCUCCUCAAUUCAAGCAGCGGGAAUUUUCUCUUCUGCCUUUUGCCUACAUACUGGUAAUUAGUGAGCGCCCAGGGAGCUCACACCACAACUGCCCUCUGCUCUGACUGGAAUCUCCGCAAACGCAGCGAACGAAAGACAAGCCCGAGGAUGCAGCUAAGGCGCUGCGUCACCGUCCCCGGGUUAGCCUCGCACAGGCCAUCACGUGGGCCGGAUCUACCUGCUUUCCUGCUGGGAUUCGGCUUCCUUCUCCUUGGUGGACAAGGGCGAGUCCUCAAAGUCAUAGGAGAAAAGGUGGAAGGGGCUGUGAAGCACAUAGGGCAGCUUUUCUACGGUCAUUCCUUUCCUCUCUCUACAUCCAGCUGGCUUCUUCCCAGACAUUUCCAAAGGGCGGAAGCAAUCAGUUCAGAGAGGAUUCCAUGACCCCGGGAGGGGUGGGCAUCUCAGCACGUCAAAUGAGCCUGUCUGAGAACUUUUACGUGCACCGGUGGCCCCAAGAAUGAGGCCACAGCAGCAAAGAAUCACAUUAACUUUGAACUUGACAUCAUUUGGGGAAAAUACCACAAAAUUUACACGUAUCUGCAAGGUGCCUGUGUCUGUUCACACUGCCCGAAGACAGAAAGGAUGCACCUUGGAGAGGUGAGUGGAGGACAGAAAACUCCCCCAAAGGGCUGUAGAGCUAUGGUAGUUAUUCUAGGCAUGCAAAUAAAUGCUGGGAAUUUUUUCUAUGCUACAUGGGGUGAAAAGUGUUCCUGUCCAUUUGGAUAAAAAUCAAAAUGCAUUAUCCCUCCAGCAGUCAUCCACACAUUAUAGAUAACAUUGUACUGGUAAAAUUAGUAGCAAGAAGGGGACACGUGGAAUUAUUCUUCCUACAGUGCAGACAGGGUUAAAGUUUUCUGAGCAGAGAGGAACAUCCCGUUAGUUACUGUCAAUCUGACUGAGCCGAAGCACUCAAUGAGGGAGGGGACAGUGGGGAGAAAAGCUCCUGGGUGUGUCUCCCAUAAAGCAAGGUUAGGCAAAGCAGCGUCUGCGUAAAAAAUACGGCUCUCUAGGGAAAACGUGCUGUUAUUUCUAUAAAACUAGUCACUCUGUGGCUCCGUGUAAACGUUUGCCGGUGGGAGCUAGUGAGGAAGGGAGGAGGCUACUGCAGGGCGGCUGCAAACUAUCCGUUAGGAAGGAGACUCCAGGCUUGUGGUGGGAGCCGGGGAGUGUGCAGCCCUCGGUACCUGUCCGUGCCCGGACAGGGGGCAUCAUCAUCUUUCUCUUCCUCUGAAUUGGGCUCCGUGACUGGCUGCUCCUCUUCCUCCUCCUCCUCGACCCUGAGGCAAGGCCAGGAAAAGAGAAAUGCACAUAGAGACAAGAUGGGAAAGCAAGAUGAGCGUUACAGACAAACAGGAAGAUGAAGCAGAAAAACUCCAGCUGGCUGAAAUGAAAAGAGCACACUUAGAGGAGGCAGUUGUGAGAUGGGGAAACCUGAGUGUGGGCUGGAGAUGCAAUAACCCAGCACAAGCCAAAUUUCUUUGUCAAGUUGGCUGGAUGCUACUGCCUGCAACCCCCGACCCCACUCCUCCCAUCCCCCUACCACACAUGAUUCACAACAGCUUCUGGCCUUGGGCAGGCUCCCAGGUGGUUCUCCUUCUGCAUACAGAGUCAUGCAGUGGCUGUUCUCAGGGCUGCCCAGCGCCUGCAGCGAGAAGUCCUCAUGUCUUCACUGCAUUCCUUCCUGCACCACCCUCUUCGGUGGACGGAUGGUUUUUGCAUGUCACUCCCUCAUUCUCAGUCAAUGUGUUUGGGGGGGGGGGGCUGAUCCCCCCGCCCACUUCAAGGGUUAACACAUGGUCCAGGUGGAGUCAAUCUGGGCCACCCCUGGGAUUUCUCCUGGUGCCUUCAGGGAUGAGAAGGUACAAGCACACCCUAAGUCUAGUGGAGGAAGGCUGCCUGUGAGUGACCCCGGCCCAAGAACAGCAGAGUUGGAGAGAGAGGGACAGACAUGGAGAGAGAGGAAAGCAGUCUCCAUGACAGUUUUAACACUUGCAUCCAAUACUUCUGAAGCUUCACCCUGGCCUUUCACUAACAGAAGAUAAUAACUUUUCAUUUUUGCUUAAGGUAGUUUAACUUGGGUUUUGCCCUUGCAGCUAAACAAAUACAGACUUUGAUAACUGAAUCAUUACCCUCCUUUGGCCUCUAAAUCCUAUCAACACGUGACUUAUGAGAUGCAAGUGUUCCAUGUGGAACACUUACCCAAGCUUCUCAAUCCCUUGCCAAAGGGAUUAAAACUCCUGAACUCCAAUGACCUUCAUCUUUGUUCACUUCAGGCCCUCACAGGCUGGACCUCACCAUCACACCUAAGUAGCCCACCUUGGAAACCUUACAUCCAAACUUCUACCCCCCGACCACAAGCCCCCAUUCCCCCAAAUCUCUCAUUCCUCUCCUCCCACCGUAACUCUUCUGCAAUCUCAGUGUCCUCCUCUACUUCCUAAAUGUCCACCAGCUCCUUCUUGCCUUCAAUCCUUAUGAAUCGACCGUUUCCCACUGUAGGCAUCAUUCUGCCAAAAUCUGUAACUCUUUUGCCCCACUCUCCUUCAAUUGAUUUUUCUUUUUACUGAAAUAUAAAAUACAUACAGAAGAGGACACGAAUCCCUGAGGUUUCACAGAACAGUUACAUCUACAUAAUCAGCAUUCCUUUAAUGCUCCCUUUGAACUGCUUCCCUCCCCUACUGGAAACAGCACAGGUCAGCUUUGCCUGAUUUCCUUCUCCAUCUAAAAGGAACCAUACUGUAUCCAGCUCCUUUUGUUCAAUAUUACACUUGUGAGAUUCAUCUAUAUUGUUAUAAGUACUUGAAGAUCAUUCUUUCUCAUUGCUGUAUAGUAUUCUCUUACAUGAAUAUACUAUAAUUUAGUUAUCCAUUCUACUGUUGAUGAUAAUCAGGUACCUUUCAGUUUGGGGUCAUUUUGAAUAGGGCUGUUAUAGAUAUUGGAGUACAUGUGUUUUAGUGUUUUGGGUCAUGAGAUAUGCUUAAAUUCAUCUUUAUUAGAAACUGUCAAACAAUUUUUUUAAAUGAAUGAAUGAAUUUACAUUCCCAUAGACAGUAUAUGAGCAUUCUGGUUCUUCCACAUCCUUGCCAAGAUUUUAUAUUUUUGUCUAUUUCAUUUGCUAUCUAAUCUGUGUGUGAUGAUGUCUCAUUGUGGUUUUACUUUGCUCUCCCCGAUGACUAAUGAAGAUGGGCACAUUAUCAUACUUUUAAUGUCUAUUUAGAUAUCCUCUUUUUGAAGUGUGUAAGUACUUUGCCUUUAAAAAAAAAAGAAAAGGCUCGGACUUCCCUGGUGGCGCAGUGGUUAAGAAUCCGCCUGCCAAUGCAGGGGACACAGAUUCAGUCCCUGGUCCAGGAAGAUCCCACGUGCCGUGGACCAACUAAACCCAUGCACCACAACUACUGAGCCUGUGCUCUAGAGCCCGCGAGCCACAACUACUGAAGCCCGAGUGCCUAGAGCCUGUGCUCUGCAACAAGAGAAGCUACCACAAUGAGAAGCCUGAGCAUCACAACAAGGAGUAGCGCCCACUCGCCACAACUAGAGAAAGCCCACGCGCAGCAACGAAGACUCAAUGCAGCCAUAAAUAAAUAAACUAAAAAAAAAAAAGGCUUUUUAUUUGUAGAAAUUCUUUACAUAAUUUGGACACAAGUAAUUUGUCAUAUUCUAGUGUUGCAAAUAUGUUUUCCCUGUGGGUUGCCUUUGCAUUCACUUCAUGGUAUCUUUUAAUAAACAUACGUUCUUAA
Molecule: long non-coding RNA, 3977 nt
Organism: Globicephala melas (long-finned pilot whale)
Lineage: Eukaryota; Metazoa; Chordata; Mammalia; Artiodactyla; Delphinidae
Source: RefSeq, a predicted model, not a curated record